RNAcentral lists this long non-coding RNA (355 nucleotides) under Phoenix dactylifera (date palm). Its description in RNAcentral is "long non-coding RNA (PDAC_LNC010699)". Lineage: Eukaryota; Viridiplantae; Streptophyta; Magnoliopsida; Arecales; Arecaceae. The record is from RNAcentral.
AGUUCAAGAAAAAAUGUUAAUUCAUUCAUUAUACAUAUUUCAAACUCACUUUGCAUGAACUUAGUAAAAUCUCCAUAUAAAUCUUCAUUAGUAGAACCAAAAAUGAUGCCAUCAAUGUAUGCUUUGAGCAAGCAAGAUAUCACAAAUUCUUCUUUUUAACGUAUAGAUUUAUCAUUAUUACUUUUUAUCAAAAAGUUACUCAAGCUUUUAUAUAUCAUGCUUUUGAUGCUUGUUCCAAAUCACAUAUUGCUUUAUCAUAUUUGUAAUGAGUGUUUUCAAAUAAGGUGGUGAUUUUACAUAGAUCUUUUCUAAUGAAAUAACCACAUAGGAGUGCAUUCUACACAUUCAUUUGACA